AUCACAUCGAACUCUUUUACUAAAAUUUAUUUGAUUUUUUUGAAUUCUAAGAUGAAAGUGUAAAACUUCCGCCUCCAAAAUGUACAACUGAAAUUACCGUCCUCUUAUAGAUGGUAUUAAUAUUCCAAUUUUUUCAAGUAAUGUCACGCCCCGGGGUCCCGUUUUAGUUUAAAGCAUAGCGGAAAAGUAUCUGAAAUUUUUUUUUUUUGAAAACCUGACCCCAGGGUAUGCCAGAUCCGCCACAAAUACAGGAGAUCCACUGUUCACACGGACAGAGUCUCCCCUGUAUUUGCACGGCGUCGCACAAGUACAAGAGUUCAAACAUGAUACAACCACAACCAGAUGAACAUACAAAUAAUCACAGUUAUAUAUUCAUACACCAUUCACCACAGGUUCACAUUUUUACAUUCAAUAUUUAAACAUAAAUCCACAUCUAUCAGUUAAAAUGUUUCCAACCACAGAAACAAGUUUUGAAAUACUAAGAUGCAAAAUCCAUAGAAAACCUUUUGAAAACUGUUCCUACACAGGAACUUUUAUCUUUCUUUAAAACGCUACCACGAGGGG
Molecule: long non-coding RNA, 564 nt
Filed under: Ananas comosus (pineapple)
Lineage: Eukaryota; Viridiplantae; Streptophyta; Magnoliopsida; Poales; Bromeliaceae
Description: long non-coding RNA (ACOM_LNC044053)
Source: RNAcentral